GAAGAUAUAACUCAGUGGUAGAUCAUGUGCUUAGCAUGCAUAAGGUCCUGGGUUCAAUCCCCAGUACCUCCA
RNAcentral lists this transfer RNA (72 nucleotides) under Camelus bactrianus (Bactrian camel). It matches the Rfam family "tRNA". Rfam says of the family: Transfer RNA (tRNA) molecules are approximately 80 nucleotides in length. RNAcentral also lists the same sequence under 2 other names. Lineage: Eukaryota; Metazoa; Chordata; Mammalia; Artiodactyla; Camelidae. The record is from Rfam by way of RNAcentral.